Molecule: long non-coding RNA, 714 nt
Filed under: Polistes fuscatus (common paper wasp)
Lineage: Eukaryota; Metazoa; Arthropoda; Insecta; Hymenoptera; Vespidae
Description: uncharacterized LOC122515750
Source: RNAcentral
UAUAAUUAGUUAGUUUUGUUGGAUACGAAGCGUACACAAGAAUUCUUUUUAUGCGCAGUCGCAGAACCCAAUGUUGACCAUAAAACGUUGAUUUUGCCUGCGAGAUAUUUAUUUCGAUUCUAUAACUCGCAAAGGUCGGCACGUGCAACUGUUGCAUUUAGAAAAAACAUUUCAGUAUGUUUCAUAGAGUACUCGUGAAAGGAUCUUUAUAGAUAACGAUCUUCGUAUCCAUUUGUAAAGUGUUUUUAACGAUUUUCGUGAAUCGCGAGUGAUUUAACGAAUGGUUUUUUUUAUUUUAUAAAUGAGCUCAACUAUUUAAACGCAAAUUUUAAUGUUAAACUGUGAUCGUGAGUGAGUCACGAUUAGAUUAUUUAUUUUAUAGAAAGAUUAGAUUCUUCGUGUCGGAUAUUUUUGUAUUAUUUUGUUAUUAGUUUCAAUCGUUCAUUUCACACCUGGAUGGAGUAUUAAUAAAAAAUAACAAAGUGAUAUCUUGCUUGCAACAGAUGGAUUUGCGAUAAGCGAACUAUAGAAUUGAUCGAAUCUUUGUCGAGUUUAUACGAACAAAAGUAAAAUACUGAAUUUGCUUGAAGAAGAAGAAGAUAAAGAAAAAAGAAACUAAAAUAAGAUUGUUAUCAAAAAGAUACUGUGGUUGGAUUAUCGAAAUACGAAGGUUCAUAUUACGGUUACUUCGAAUGUGUAAUCAGAAGAUUAAAA